GUCUAUGGCCAUGCCACCCUGAACAAGCCCGAUCCAUGCCCCCUGAACAAACUCGAUCCCGUCUGAUCUCGGAAGCUAAGCAGGGUCGGGCCUGGUUAGUACUUGAAUGGGAGACCACCUAGGAAGACCAGGUGAUGUAGGUG
This 143-nucleotide ribosomal RNA is filed under the name Pteropus alecto (black flying fox). RNAcentral also lists the same sequence under 1 other name. The record is from RNAcentral. Lineage: Eukaryota; Metazoa; Chordata; Mammalia; Chiroptera; Pteropodidae.